Molecule: ribosomal RNA, 292 nt
Filed under: uncultured bacterium
Lineage: Bacteria
Description: partial 16S ribosomal RNA
Rfam family: Bacterial small subunit ribosomal RNA
Source: RNAcentral
UCCUACGGGAGGCAGCAGUGAGGAAUAUUGGUCAAUGGGCGAGAGCCUGAACCAGCCAAGUCGCGUGAGGGAGUACUGCCCUAUGGGUUGUAAACCUCUUUUGUCGGGGAGCAAAAGCCGGACGUGUCCGGCUGUGAGAGUACCCGAAGAAAAAGCAUCGGCUAACUCCGUGCCAGCAGCCGCGGUAAUACGGAGGAUGCGAGCGUUAUCCGGAUUUAUUGGGUUUAAAGGGUGCGUAGGCGGUAGGUUAAGUCAGCGGUCAAAUGUCGGUGCUCAACACCGGCCUGCCGUU